AAAUUUCACUACUGUUUAUGGGUAUUCACCAGAGCAAGGUAGUUUUCAAGAGAAUUAAACCAAUGACCAAGAAAAAAAUUCUUGUACACAAAGCUGUAUCUGAAUUAGUUUGAAAAGAGAAAAAAUAACUAUAAGGAAUAACUUAUUGCGAAAAUGAAAAAGUGAAACAACCUGUUGUGAAACCAUGGCUUAACUAAAGGUGUUUAGCCUAGUGCAUAUUUCUUUGCAGUUUUACAAGAUGUCUCUAAUAUUUCAUUUCCUUCCCAUUUUGUUAUUGAUAUGUGGCACUAUAAGUCUGCUUUUGCAGUUGUGAUUAAUGAUUGUGUGAAUAAAAUUGGGCACUUCCUAAUUU
This 352-nucleotide long non-coding RNA is filed under the name Bos taurus (domestic cattle). Its description in RNAcentral is "long non-coding RNA NONBTAT023063". The record is from RNAcentral. Lineage: Eukaryota; Metazoa; Chordata; Mammalia; Artiodactyla; Bovidae.